CCAAGGUGGAGUUUAAAGGGCACUGAACGCGAUCCUUGACUUCGCCGUGAUGUUAAACUCUUUAGAUGAAUUGUUCGUCACCAAGAAGAUGUCUUUACUAAUAAUGCAUGAAGUGGAUUGGGGGAAAAAGCCUCCCUGCAGCCAAGCGAUAGACGCGUGAUUGCAUCUUGGGCAAGGACACUUUGGUGCGUUCUGAAGACGAAGUGGCCGAAUACGCAACCAUUGGUAACCACGUCCCACCAAAUGAAGCUUAUUUCAUCCACCCAGGAGGAACUCAAAUCGGUUCUCGUUCAAUUCCCUGAAAAAAGAAACCGUCUCUCGGCGUGUGGAGUGAAACUUCAAACAUCGCAUCAAAC
Molecule: long non-coding RNA, 356 nt
Organism: Lethenteron reissneri (Far Eastern brook lamprey)
Lineage: Eukaryota; Metazoa; Chordata; Hyperoartia; Petromyzontiformes; Petromyzontidae
Source: RefSeq, a predicted model, not a curated record